UUAUGGGUUAUGCUGGCUUUG
RNAcentral lists this microRNA (21 nucleotides) under Monodelphis domestica (gray short-tailed opossum). Its description in RNAcentral is "mdo-miR-12335-3p". The record is from miRBase by way of RNAcentral. Lineage: Eukaryota; Metazoa; Chordata; Mammalia; Didelphimorphia; Didelphidae.